Molecule: ribosomal RNA, 301 nt
Filed under: uncultured bacterium
Lineage: Bacteria
Description: partial 16S ribosomal RNA
Rfam family: Bacterial small subunit ribosomal RNA
Source: RNAcentral
CAGUAGCCGCGGUAACACAGAGGGUGCGAGCGUUAAUCGGAUUUACUGGGCGUAAAGCGUGCGUAGGCGGCUUCUUAAGUCGGAUGUGAAAUCCCUGAGCUUAACUUAGGAAUUGCAUUCGAUACUGGGAAGCUAGAGUAUGGGAGAGGAUGGUAGAAUUCCAGGUGUAGCGGUGAAAUGCGUAGAGAUCUGGAGGAAUACCGAUGGCGAAGGCAGCCAUCUGGCCUAAUACUGACGCUGAGGUACGAAAGCAUGGGGAGCAAACAGGAUUAAAUACCCCCGUAGUCCCUGUCUCUUAUAC